GACGAACGCUGGCGGCGUGCCUAAUACAUGCAAGUCGAACGAACCGCGACUGAGUGCUUGCACUUGGUCAAGGUGAGUGGCGAACGGGUGAGUAACACGUGGGUAACCUACCUCAUAGUGGGGGAUAACAGUCGGAAACGACUGCUAAUACCGCAUAGGACAUGGGAUCACAUGAUUCCGUGAGGAAAGGUGGCGCAAGCUAUCGCUAAGAGAUGGACCCGCGGUGCAUUAGCUAGUUGGUAGGGUAACGGCCUACCAAGGCGAUGAUGCAUAGCCGACCUGAGAGGGUGAUCGGCCACAUUGGGACUGAGACACGGCCCAAACUCCUACGGGAGGCAGCAGUAGGGAAUCUUCCGCAAUGGACGCAAGUCUGACGGAGCAACGCCGCGUGAGUGAAGAAGGUCUUCGGAUCGUAAAGCUCUGUUGUUAGAGAAGAACAGCGCAUAGAGUAACUGUUAUGCGUGUGACGGUAUCUAACCAGAAAGCCACGGCUAACUACGUGCCAGCAGCCGCGGUAAUACGUAGGUGGCGAGCGUUGUCCGGAUUUAUUGGGCGUAAAGGGAGUGUAGGCGGUCUUUUAAGUCUGAUGUGAAAGCCCACGGCUCAACCGUGGAGGGUCAUUGGAAACUGGGAGACUUGAGUGCAGAAGAGGAGAGCGGAAUUCCAUGUGUAGCGGUGAAAUGCGUAGAUAUAUGGAGGAACACCAGUGGCGAAGGCGGCUCUCUGGUCUGUAACUGACGCUGAGGCUCGAAAGCGUGGGGAGCGAACAGGCUUAGAUACCCUGGUAGUCCACGCUGUAAACGGUGGGUACUAGGUGUGGGGUCCAUUCCACGGGUUCCGUGCCGUAGCUAACGCUUUAAGUACCCCGCCUGGGGAGUACGGCCGCAAGGCUAAAACUCAAAGGAAUUGACGGGGCCCCGCACAAGCGGCGGAGCAUGCGGAUUAAUUCGAUGCAACGCGUAGAACCUUACCUGGGUUUGACAUGGAUCGGGAGUGCUCAGAGAUGGGUGUGCCUCUUUUGGGGUCGGUUCACAGGUGGUGCAUGGCUGUCGUCAGCUCGUGUCGUGAGAUGUUGGGUUAAGUCCCGCAACGAGCGCAACCCUUGUUCACUGUUGCCAGCACGUUAUGGUGGGGACUCAGUGGAGACCGCCGGGGUCAACUCGGAGGAAGGUGGGGAUGACGUCAAGUCAUCAUGCCCCUUAUGUCCAGGGCUUCACGCAUGCUACAAUGGCUGGUACAGAGAGUGGCGAGCCUGUGAGGGUGAGCGAAUCUCGGAAAGCCGGUCUCAGUUCGGAUUGGGGUCUGCAACUCGACCUCAUGAAGUCGGAGUCGCUAGUAAUCGCAGAUCAGCAACGCUGCGGUGAAUACGUUCCCGGGGCU
RNAcentral lists this ribosomal RNA (1380 nucleotides) under uncultured bacterium. RNAcentral's name for it is "partial 16S ribosomal RNA". It matches the Rfam family "Bacterial small subunit ribosomal RNA", at positions 28 to 1381 of the family's 1533-position model. The record is from RNAcentral.